RNAcentral lists this ribozyme (72 nucleotides) under unclassified sequences. RNAcentral describes it as "HDV ribozyme from F. prausnitzii". It matches the Rfam family "HDV ribozyme from F. prausnitzii". The record is from RNAcentral.
GUUACUCAAAAUUUGCACACCGCUACGAGGUGAGCAGCAGGCAACGGUCUUAUGACUGGCUGAGAUGUGAGA